This 253-nucleotide ribosomal RNA is filed under the name uncultured bacterium. Its description in RNAcentral is "partial 16S ribosomal RNA". It matches the Rfam family "Bacterial small subunit ribosomal RNA", at positions 524 to 776 of the family's 1533-position model. The record is from RNAcentral.
UACGUAGGGUGCGAGCGUUAAUCGGAAUUACUGGGCGUAAAGCGUGCGCAGGCGGUUCGUUAAGUUCGUUGUGAAAGCCCCGGGCUCAACCUGGGAACGGCAAUGGAAACUGGCGGGCUCGAGUGCGGCAGAGGGGGGUGGAAUUCCUGGUGUAGCAGUGAAAUGCGUAGAGAUGUGGAGGAACACCGAUGGCGAAGGCAGCCCCCUGGGUCAACACUGACGCUCAUGCACGAAAGCGUGGGUAGCAAACAGG